Molecule: ribosomal RNA, 602 nt
Filed under: Arthrobacter sp. UMAB-65
Lineage: Bacteria; Bacillati; Actinomycetota; Actinomycetes; Micrococcales; Micrococcaceae
Description: bacterial SSU rRNA
Rfam family: Bacterial small subunit ribosomal RNA
Source: RNAcentral
AAAGUCCGGGGCUCAACUCCGGAUCUGCGGUGGGUACGGGCAGACUAGAGUGAUGUAGGGGAGACUGGAAUUCCUGGUGUAGCGGUGAAAUGCGCAGAUAUCAGGAGGAACACCGAUGGCGAAGGCAGGUCUCUGGGCAUUAACUGACGCUGAGGAGCGAAAGCAUGGGGAGCGAACAGGAUUAGAUACCCUGGUAGUCCAUGCCGUAAACGUUGGGCACUAGGUGUGGGGGACAUUCCACGUUUUCCGCGCCGUAGCUAACGCAUUAAGUGCCCCGCCUGGGGAGUACGGCCGCAAGGCUAAAACUCAAAGGAAUUGACGGGGGCCCGCACAAGCGGCGGAGCAUGCGGAUUAAUUCGAUGCAACGCGAAGAACCUUACCAAGGCUUGACAUGAACUGGAAACGCUUGGAAACAAGUGCCCCGCUUGCGGUCGGUUUACAGGUGGUGCAUGGUUGUCGUCAGCUCGUGUCGUGAGAUGUUGGGUUAAGUCCCGCAACGAGCGCAACCCUCGUUCUAUGUUGCCAGCACGUGAUGGUGGGGACUCAUAGGAGACUGCCGGGGUCAACUCGGAGGAAGGUGAGGACGACGUCAAAUCAUCAUG